UUAAGCAACACCUGUGACCAAAGCCACAUUUACUCUCUUCUUUCUCUCAUUCCCUCUCUUCCCUCUCUAAUUCGUUGAAAUCCAUUUACAUUCUAGAACCAAAACGCCCUAAUCUUCCGCGUUCGUGAGAAGAUUUGGACAUCUCUGUUAAGGAUAAAGUUUCAAGUUUCGUGACUGUGGUUGCUUAAGUACCAUUUAUAGUUUCAAGUUUCAUGACAGAAAUAGAUCACGGUUAAGGUUAAAAUGGGUUCCUAAAGCACCAUUUCGAGUAAUUAUCUUUUAAGAUGUCAACAAGAAAAUGAAAGGAUGAUGAUUCAUACAAGUCCACUGUGAAGCGGACAAAGGCCAGUAACAAGGGACAAACCUAAUGAAAUGGGGUCUGUUGAGGCACUGAUUAGACGGCUGGUCAAAUAGACCCUAAUGAAAGAAACUAGUGAAGCUUCCAGAAAUAAACCCGUUAAAGAAUGUAGUAUGCAAGAGGAGGAGAAGAUCUAUGACACACUUGGUUGUCGUUGUCAAGGGGAGAAGAUAAUCAAUACUAUGAAGAAUAUGACUCCUAAGCAAAAGCAACUUAUUAGGGACAUCAGAUUUGGUUCCCUCCCACGUACCGAGGUCCUGAGUGUCAGGGGUGGGCUUAUAUGGUACUUGUACAACAACAUGGAUAUCGAUAAUUGAGAACUCAAGUUUGACGAAGUAAGUUGCCCUAUAACGGUUGAAUCAUUCGAGAGUAUUAUAGGAAUCAAGGAUGGGGGCAAGGAAAUCUACUUUGAUUUUGUCACUGAUGAUGAGAACAAAAUAUACGAGGAAAUACACAAUGAAAAGCAGUCUAUAUGCAAUGACUUGAUGAAAAAAGCUAUGGAAGAUGAUCAAGCCGACAUCUAUUUUGUUGGCCGAUUUAUGUUUGUUGCAAUGGGCACAUUCUUAGUACCAACUUCUAGUACCUAUGUCCGAAAGGAGUACCUUAAUGUGCUUCAAGAUAUUGAAAAAAUCAAGAUGCUGAACUAGGCGUCUUUUGUUGUCAAAUUCCUCCAUGACAGUUUGAUAGGCCUGCGUGGACGGGAAAACCUUAAAUCUGUCUAGUAAGGGAUAUUCUAGUAGAAUCACAUUAAAUAGAAGCAAACAUAUACCCCAGGCCACAGACUUCUCUUGCUUAUUGGAAAUACCAAUGACUCUCAAAGCUUAGGUCAUUUGCCUUGAAGGACGGAGAUUAUAAUGGUAACAAGAUUCCCCUAUAUAAAGCCAGUGUACCAGAGGCAUCCUAGCAGCCCAAUAUACAACAUGACUGCAUCGUCCAUCUAAAUUGGGUCUAGCUCGAACAACACUUGCUACAACUGAAUCCUUAGGGAUGAAAUAAGGAGGAUAGAUGAGAAGAUGAAGGAGACGAUCGAUGUUGCUAUUACUGCAAUGAAGAAAUCCAUUGGUGUAUUCUAACAAAAGGCACAAAUCGGAAGGGAAAUUUCCAAUAUAAGGAAAAUUAUUGUGCAAGACAUUUUGUGAGCUCUUUAAGAAAAUUUGCAAACUUAAAAUAUAACCUGUAAGGAUAAUAAUAAGAUUUAAUAGUCAUCAAUAAUAGAGAUAAAAAAAAAAGGCAUCAACAGUUAUAUAGGUUAA
This is a long non-coding RNA of Humulus lupulus (European hop), 1611 nucleotides long. RefSeq lists it as uncharacterized. The record is from RefSeq and is a predicted model, not a curated record. The transcript has 6 exons. Lineage: Eukaryota; Viridiplantae; Streptophyta; Magnoliopsida; Rosales; Cannabaceae.